Molecule: long non-coding RNA, 448 nt
Organism: Fundulus heteroclitus (mummichog)
Lineage: Eukaryota; Metazoa; Chordata; Actinopteri; Cyprinodontiformes; Fundulidae
Exons: 2
Source: RefSeq, a predicted model, not a curated record
GAGAAAGACAUUCGUUAGCGGGGUUUUUUUUUUUCUCGUGACAAAAACCCCACACAACAACAUGACAGACGUGUUCCAUUACAGCGGGAAGGGAAUUCGUUUUCGUGUGACACAGAUGGCCUAGAAAAAAUAAAACGGUUGUCUAGCAAAAUGACCCUAAUAUCAGCUCCAUCAUUGUCCCAUCUACCCUGACCAGCUUUACUGUCCCCGCAGAAGAAAAGAACCCCACGACAUGAUGCUGCUGUGCCACCGUUUCUCAGUGGGGAUGACGUUUUUAGCAUUGUGUCCCCCACACAUUUGGCAUGAACGCCAAAGAGCUCUUUUGGACUCUGACUACAGUACUAUUUUCCAUGCUCCCUAUGGCCUCCAUGGACUUUUUUUUUUAUAGCAUUCGUUCAACAAUCUGUCCAGUCAUUCAGUAAAGGCCAAGAUUUGUGGCACACAUUAA